GUCGUGAGAUGUUGGGUUAAGUCCCGCAACGAGCGCAACCCUUGUCCCUAGUUGCUACGCAAGGGCACUCUAGGGAGACUGCCGGUGACAAACCGGAGGAAGGUGGGGAUGACGUCAAGUCCUCAUGGCCCUUAUGGGUAGGGCUUCACACGUCAUACAAUGGCCGGUACAGAGGGUUGCCAACCCGCGAGGGGGAGCCAAUCCCAGAAAGCCGGUCGUAGUCCGGAUUGCAGUCUGCAACUCGACUGCAUGAAGUCGGAAUCGCUAGUAAUCGCGGAUCAGCAUGUCGCGGUGAAUACGUUCCCGGGUCUUGUACACACCGCCCGUCACACCAUGGGAGCGGGAUGUACCAGAAGUAGGUAGGCUAACCGCAAGGGGGCCGCUUACCACGGUGCGUUUCGUGACUGGGGUGAAGUCGUAACAAGGUAGCCGUAUCGGAAGGUGCGGCUGGAUCACCUCCUUUCUCGGAAACAGGAGUCAGAGGACAGGAGACAGAGGACAGCAAUGCCCAAUGUCAAACGACUCUGCCACUCCCAUUCCCACCUGCGAGUACCCACAACCUAUCGGUUGUCAUCAGAAAACAGAAGUCAGAGGACAGAGGACAGCGAAGGCAAAGUGUCGCGAUUUGCGCUCUUUCUGACUUCUGUCCUCUGAAUUCUGACUCCUGAAACGGGCCUGUAGCUCAGUUGGUUAGAGCACCGUCUUGAUAAGGCGGGGGUCGAUGGUUCGAAUCCAUCCAGACCCACCACCGGAUCCACCGGGGCUGUAGCUCAAUUGGGAGAGCGCCUGCUUUGCAAGCAGGAGGUCGUCGGUUCGAUCCCGUCCAGCUCCACCAUUCAGAAGUCAGGAAUCAGAAGACAGAGGACAGAACGAUGGGGCGGUUGGGACGUUCUGAAUUCUGUCCUGUGACUCCUGAAUUCUGAACACUAUCGGUUGUGGUUGCACGAGCGUUCAACUCUCGUUGUUCGACGAGUGGCGAGAGUUGAGAGCUGCAGUGUUCUUUAACAAUUCGGAAGGUAAGGGUUCACGAGACUUGGUGAGAGUUUCGUGAGCAAUAGGGUUGAGUUGUAUCUUCAAAAAGCCGGUCACCUUUUAAAAAGGGGGGUGAGCGGUGGCGCGAACACAUCGUAACGGUGGAGUCCGAUGAGGGCUUACAGUUAUGGGGUCAAGCGACUAAGUGCAUGUGGUGGAUGCCUAGGCGAUUACAGGCGAUGAAGGACGUGGCAGCCUGCGAAAAGCUGCGGGGAGCUGGCAAACAAGCAUUGAUCCGCAGAUGU
Molecule: small RNA, 1277 nt
Filed under: uncultured beta proteobacterium
Lineage: Bacteria; Pseudomonadati; Pseudomonadota; Betaproteobacteria
Description: bacterial SSU rRNA
Rfam family: Bacterial small subunit ribosomal RNA (bases 1-463)
Source: RNAcentral